GAGUGGCGGACGGGUGAGUAACGCGUGGGUAACCUGCCUCGUACAGGGGGAUAACAGUUAGAAAUGACUGCUAAUACCGCAUAAGCGCACAGUGCUGCAUGGCACAGUGUGAAAAACUCCGGUGGUAUGAGAUGGACCCGCGUCUGAUUAGCUAGUUGGUGGGGUAACGGCCUACCAAGGCGACGAUCAGUAGCCGGCCUGAGAGGGUGAACGGUCACAUUGGGACUGAGACACGGCCCAAACUCCUACGGGAGGCAGCAGUGGGGAAUAUUGCACAAUGGGGGAAACCCUGAUGCAGCGACGCCGCGUGAGCGAAGAAGUAUUUCGGUAUGUAAAGCUCUAUCAGCAGGGAAGAAAAUGACGGUACCUGACUAAGAAGCACCGGCUAAAUACGUGCCAGCAGCCGCGGUAAUACGUAUGGUGCAAGCGUUAUCCGGAUUUACUGGGUGUAAAGGGAGCGUAGACGGUUGUGUAAGUCUGAUGUGAAAGCCCGGGGCUCAACCCCGGGACUGCAUUGGAAACUAUGUAACUAGAGUGUCGGAGAGGUAAGCGGAAUUCCUAGUGUAGCGGUGAAAUGCGUAGAUAUUAGGAGGAACACCGGUGGCGAAGGCGGCUUACUGGACGAUCACUGACGUUGAGGCUCGAAAGCGUGGGGAGCAAACAGGAUUAGAUACCCUGGUAGUCCACGCCGUAAACGAUGACUACUAGGUGUCGGGGAGCAAAGCUCUUCGGUGCCGCAG
This 740-nucleotide ribosomal RNA is filed under the name uncultured bacterium. Its description in RNAcentral is "bacterial SSU rRNA". It matches the Rfam family "Bacterial small subunit ribosomal RNA", at positions 93 to 851 of the family's 1533-position model. The record is from RNAcentral.